Molecule: long non-coding RNA, 1571 nt
Organism: Panicum virgatum (switchgrass)
Lineage: Eukaryota; Viridiplantae; Streptophyta; Magnoliopsida; Poales; Poaceae
Exons: 5
Source: RefSeq, a predicted model, not a curated record
CGCCGUAACAGCCUCCCAUGGCACCAACCACCCGAUUCCCUCCAUCGCCGCGCCGUCUCGCGACUCCAAAUCCCCCCCUCCCGUGGUACCGCCGGCAACCGUGCGGCCCACCAAGGAUACUCCAUCCCCGAUCGCGCGCCGCAACUCCUCGCUACCUCCUGCGCACCAGCCCGACCCAUCAGCUCGCCUCCGUAGUUGCCGCCGGCCUGCCUCGCCGCCGCCCCCGCCGCUACUCCAGGGAAUGCGCUCCAUCAAAUCACGCUGUUCUGGGACUCGGCCUCGACGGCCUCCGAGGCAGGGCGCGUGCUGCUUGUCCUCUUCGUUGGCGACGAAGUUGGCGACCUCGGUGUCGCGGCCGCGCUUGCGCCCAGAGGCAGGAACAGCGUCGACAAGCGAGGGGAAGUUGAGGUUGGCCCUAAGCCCAUGGAUGUCGCGCAAGGCGGCAUCGUAGGCGGGCGUGGCAUCCUCGACGGAGGAUAAUGUGCCGAGCCAGACGCGGACAUCCUUGGAAUUAUGGGGAGAAAUUGUCAGGAUAUGGAAAGAGAUACGAUGGUACUGCAGCUGGAGGCAGAAGGCUGACCUGCUUCAAGCACUGUCCUUUGGCGAAAAUCCUUUCUGCUCUAGGAGAACACUAAUCCUUUCCCGGUCAGAAAAGCUCGAGUCUGAGAAGCUCGGGGGCAUAUUAAUGGAACAACUUGCGAAAAUAGAUUCAGUGCUGAGAGAUUUGAGACAGAGGAGAGAUGAGCGAGCGAGUUCUGGGUAGAUGAGAAUGAUCUUAUCCUUAAAGAGACUAAGGGAGUUGAAGUUGCAGGUUGGAGUUAUCCCUGUAUUUGGAGCUUGGAUUUAAGAUGUUCUUGGUUGUGACUGCAAUUGUAGACAAUUGGGAUGCUGACGGUACAAGCUGCAGCAAAACUUGGAGGACAAUCCUCUCGUUCAUUUUGUUGACUCCCCAGAUGCUUGACAAGGCCUUGAAUGUUGCAAUGUGUUCAAAGGAGUAAUCGGGAGAACAUUGGAAGGUUCAGUUUUUGAGACAAAUCCACAUGCUAUGUCUUGGUCUACACUUGCCGGCAACACAAUAGUACUAACACUCAUCGGUACAAUUGACCUAGGACUCAAGUGCACAAUAUGCUAAGGAAAUAUCAGCAAGAAGCCAACAAUAUAUUUAUGUUUCUUCUCAUUUUCUUUUUUUUUAUCAAGGAUACGGCCAUGAGAAGGGCGGGCUUGGUGCAGCAGUAGAGCCUACCGUCUGUAACCGGAAGGUCCCGGGUUCGAGCCCCAGCCUCUGCACAUUUGUGUGGGUAAGACUUGGGGCUUAAAAACAACUCUUCCCCAGACCCCGCACAGUGCGGGAAGCCUACGGCACUGGGUACGCCCUUUUUUUAACGAUACGGCCAUGGAUCCUUGAAAAUUUAUGCCUGCCAUAAUACUUCUUGAGUUUUGUGUUCAAGCAUAAUGUUUCUUGAGUUUUGUGUUCAAGUGCAACUCUACCGGUAUUUAACUGACCUGAUGAUUUAUGUAAUGUUCAUUACAUUAUAUCUGUUCUAUCAUUCAUAUAUUUUCAUUUGAAUAAA